This 373-nucleotide ribosomal RNA is filed under the name uncultured bacterium. RNAcentral describes it as "bacterial SSU rRNA". It matches the Rfam family "Bacterial small subunit ribosomal RNA", at positions 521 to 896 of the family's 1533-position model. The record is from RNAcentral.
UAAUACGGAGGGUGCAAGCGUUAUCCGGAUUCACUGGGUUUAAAGGGUGCGUAGGCGGGCAUGUAAGUCAGUGGUGAAAUCUCCGGGCUUAACCCGGAAACUGCCGUUGAUACUAUGUGUCUUGAAUAUCGUUGAGGUUUGCGGAAUAUGUCAUGUAGCGGUGAAAUGCUUAGAUAUGACAUAGAACACCAAUUGCGAAGGCAGCAGGCUAAACGAACAUUGACGCUGAGGCACGAAAGCGUGGGGAUCAAACAGGAUUAGAUACCCUGGUAGUCCACGCCCUAAACUAUGAUUACUCGACAUACGCGAUACACAGUGUGUGUCUGAGCGAAAGCAUUAAGUAAUCCACCUGGGAAGUACGACCGCAAGGUUG